This 324-nucleotide ribosomal RNA is filed under the name uncultured eukaryote. RNAcentral describes it as "partial 18S ribosomal RNA". It matches the Rfam family "Eukaryotic small subunit ribosomal RNA", at positions 1470 to 1796 of the family's 1831-position model. The record is from RNAcentral.
CCCUUAGAUGUUCUGGGCUGCACGCGCGCUACACUGACAUGUCCAGCGAGCUCCCAACCUGCUCGGCAAAGAAUGGGUACCCUUUUUAACGCAUGUCGUGAUGGGGAUAGAUUAUUGCAAUUAUUAGUCUUGAACGAGGAAUUCCUAGUAAGCACAAGUCAUCAGCUUGUGUUGAUUACGUCCCUGCCCUUUGUACACACCGCCCGUCGCUCCUACCGAUUGAAUGUUCCGGUGAGCUCUUCGGACUGCGCGGUCUGCAGUUUCUGCGUUCCGUGCGGAAAGUUGCGCAAACCUUAACAUUUAGAGGAAGGAGAAGUCGUAACA